GAACGAACGCUGGCGGCGUGGAUUAGGCAUGCAAGUCGAACGAGGGAGUGUUCCGAAAGGGGCACAAACCGAGUGGCGUAAGGGUGAGUAAUGCAUUGAUAACCUACCUUUGAGACGGGGAUAACAACGUUCCGCAAGGGACUCCCGAAAGGGUUGCUAAUACCCGAUAAAACUCAUGGUGCUUCGGUAUCGGGAGUCAAAGGUUUGGGGCUGAAAGGUUCCAUAUGCUCAGAGAGGGGUCAAUGUCCUAUCAGCUAGUUGGCAGGGUAAAGGCCUACCAAGGCGAAGACGGGUAGCCGGCCUGAGAGGGUGGUCGGCCACAUUGGGACUGAGACACUGCCCAGACUCCUACGGGAGGCUGCAGUCGAGAAUCUUUCGCAAUGCCCGGAAGGGUGACGAAGCGACGCCGCGUGUGGGAAGAAGGCCUUCGGGUUGUAAACCACUGCCGGGAGUUAAGAAGUGUAAGGGGGUGAAUAGCCCUCUUACUUGACGUUAGCUCCGGAGGAAGCCACGGCUAACUCUGUGCCAGCAGCCGCGGUAAUACAGAGGUGGCAAGCGUUGUUCGGAAUUAUUGGGCGUAAAGAGCACGUAGGCGGCCCUACAAGUCAGCUGUGAAAUCCUUCUGCUCAACGGAAGAACGGCAGUUGAUACUAUAGGUGGGGAGGUGGCGGGAAGGGGAGAGUGGAACUUCUGGUGGAGCGGUGAAAUGCGUAGAUAUCAGAAGGAACAUCGGCGGCGAAAGCGACUCUCUGGCCCGUAACUGACGCUGAGGUGCGAAAGCUAGGGGAGCAAACGGGAUUAGAUACCCCGGUAGUCCUAGCCGUAAACGAUGGGCACUCGGUAGAGGGGUUUUGAUUAUCUCUCUGCCUGAGCUAACGCGUUAAGUGCCCCGCCUGGGGAGUACGGCCGCAAGCUAAAACUCAAAGAUUGACGGGGGCUCGCACAAGCGUGGAGCAUGUGCUUAUUCGAUGCACACGAGACCUUACCGGGCUUGACAUGUAGAGUAGAGCCGAAAGGUAC
This 1020-nucleotide ribosomal RNA is filed under the name uncultured bacterium. RNAcentral describes it as "bacterial SSU rRNA". It matches the Rfam family "Bacterial small subunit ribosomal RNA", at positions 27 to 1011 of the family's 1533-position model. The record is from RNAcentral.